This 497-nucleotide ribosomal RNA is filed under the name uncultured bacterium. RNAcentral's name for it is "partial 16S ribosomal RNA". It matches the Rfam family "Bacterial small subunit ribosomal RNA", at positions 28 to 507 of the family's 1533-position model. The record is from RNAcentral.
GAUGAACGCUGGCGGCGUGCCUAAUACAUGCAAGUCGAGCGAACAGACGAGGAGCUUGCUCCUCUGACGUUAGCGGCGGACGGGUGAGUAACACGUGGAUAACCUACCUAUAAGACUGGGAUAACUUCGGGAAACCGGAGCUAAUACCGGAUAAUAUAUUGAACCGCAUGGUUCAAUAGUGAAAGACGGUUUUGCUGUCCCUUAUAGAUGGAUCCGCGCCGCAUUAGCUAGUUGGUAAGGUAACGGCUUACCAAGGCAACGAUGCGUAGCCGACCUGAGAGGGUGAUCGGCCACACUGGAACUGAGACACGGUCCAGACUCCUACGGGAGGCAGCAGUAGGGAAUCUUCCGCAAUGGGCGAAAGCUUGACGGAGCAACGCCGCGUGAGUGAUGAAGGUCUUCGGAUCGUAAAACUCUGUUAGUAGGGAAGAACAAAUGUGUAAGUAACUAUGCACGUCUUGACGGUACCUAAUCAGAAAGCCACGGCUAACUACGUG